UGUUAAGAUUCCCCUUCUCCACUAAUGCCCUUAUUCAGAACACAGCAAGGCAAUUUGGCAGGCGUGGAGUCCACGCAUGAGAAAUCAGUAAAUGCACCUCCCGUCUUCCCCCUGCUGCCAGUGCAGCGAUGAGGGGCAGGGCUGAGGGGCUGGUGAAGAGACCUCCAAGCUGGUGGAUUCACCUGGUGGUCUGGUAGUGCCAAAGGGCUUAAGUGUGGCUAGGAAAGGUCUCCCUGCCUGUUAACAAAGAAAUGAUCAAGGGCAGAGAAGCUGGAGCCAUCUGAGGUCCAUGUCCUUUUUAUUUUUUCAUCCAUGUGAGGACCGACUGGCUCUAAGGAAAAGCUGUUUGCUCGCAGAUGCAGGUGAUUGGUGACAAAGGAAGCGGACUGAGGGAAUGGACAGCUCCCAACGAGCCUCACACUCCUGAGCAGAACAGCGACCACGGCUGCGUCCUUCUGAGGGAAGACGUGGGGUAAGUCCUGCCCUCAUUAAUCUCAAGACAUGGAACCUCACGAAGGCAGGGAGGCACUGCCAAGGAUGUGCACCUGAGCAGGUGUCGCCUCAGUUCUUCACCUUUCGUCAUUAUUACCCUGGACUCGGACUGUUUGGAGACCGUGCUGGGCUCUGAGUGAUUCUUCAGUUAAAGCAGAAUCUAUUGAAGCAAGCUGCUGACUGCUGGCACUGGAUAUUGCACCAUUUGUUUGGUUUCAUUUUCCUCCCCAGCUGGCUCUUGAAAUACUCCUGUAGAUUUCAAACCAAUGUUUGUAAGUAUCUCUCCUAGUGUCACUCAGAGCUUUUUGACCCUGGGCUGCACACCUGGGCAACCAAAACAAGAACGGUCUCCCUGCCAUUGCAGAAUUAUAUCCUGGGAUUAACCAUGAAAGGGGAAAGAGAAAUGGAAAUGAAAAGUGGUUAAGAAGAGGUAGCAGAGAUACAUAACUGCAAGACUAUGAUCAAAGGUGCUUUAGAACCUCAUUAAUUUGGAAACAUAUUUAAAAUGUGUAAUUUGGACAUAAAGUGUGCUUAACUUUUCCUUCAGAGCCCAUUCACAUGGCUUCACGUAACUUCCAUAGGCUGAUGACUCCCAUGUCUGUCCAGCACAGGUCUCUCCUGAGUGUUGGACCCGUAUACCCAGCCCUCUGUGGGCUUUCUACUUGGGCUGGCCACAGACACUUCCAGUCCCAAGCUGUCACCUUUGCCCAUUUUCUCCCCAGCUUUCUCGUCCUCACCCACCACAGGCUUCUUCCAGAUGCCUGAAGAGGCUUCAUCUCUGCUGCUGCCCUUCCCUUGCUUAGAGCUCUUCUCUCUCCACUAGUUAAUGCCUUUGCCCUUCAGGGCUCAGGCUGGCUUUUUUCCAGCAACACGUAUUGAGAGCUAUUACGUAACUGUCAUGUCAUUUCCUCAGAGAAGCCUUUCUGGAACCCCUGAGAUGAGGUGAACUGCUUUGGGAACACUCACCACCCCUUAAAUAAUUCUGGGCCUAAUGUAUGGGAAGGCUCCCCAGGGUGGGCCAUGCCUGUUUUCACUGCUGAACUGAUGAUCCCAAGCCCAGGACACAUUACACAGCCACCUUCAGUGCUUGUGGGUUAAAUGAAUAUCCUUGGUUAAAUCAGCCUCUUCUGGCACUCCCAAUCACAAGGAAACCUCAGCAUCAUUCCUCAUCGCCAGUCAUCAAGUCCUAAUGAUUGUGCCUCCAAAAUAGCAAUCACUCCCCAGUCUACCGGUUGCUCUCCAUCCUCACUGUUAUCCAAGCAUUAACUCCCUUCUGCUCAGCCUAAAAUACUUCCCAAAGCCUCCUAAACGGCUUCCCAGACUCUGGCCUGGCCCCCUCUUUUCUUGCCUCCACAAUUCGGUCAGAAGAAUCUUUUUAAAAUAAAAUGCAAAUCCCAUCCAGCCACCCCACUGAUUAAGCCCUCCAAGGUACUGUUUUCAAAUGCUCGUUGAUAAGCUUAAAAAAGCCACAACAAGCUGCCCUCCCUCCUUCUACCUCUCCUACUUUGUUUCUUGUCCUUCCAACUCUCCCAACACACUGUAGUUUUUUUUUUUUUAUUUCUGGAAUUAAAACAUGCCACACUCUCACAUGGAGCCUAAAGCACACUUUCUCCCAUUUGUCUGGCCAAAUCCUGUCUUCAUUCACAGCUCAUUUAUAACUCACUCAGGGAAAGCCUUUUUUGACUUCCCCUCAACCCCCAAGUCUGGGGGCAGGUGGCCCUAGUAUGUGCCACUGCCUACUCCCCAUGGUACCCUUCAGAGCACUGUGCUACCACACAGCAGGGGGAGUGUGUCUCUAUCCUCCUAUGGGUCUUUCUAUGGUUGACUCAGGGAGAGCACAGUAACAGGAAGAAGGACCACUGAGCCUGGUCAUCAGGCUUUGGUCAUUCCAUAGAGAACACCACGCUGCAGACACAGGGAAUGAGAGAGAAAAGGGGCCCACAGAAAUACCACAUCGGUGGGCUUUAGGAAGCUUUUCUCCCUCUGGGAGGGAACCUGGCUCAAACUCCACAUCCAGGCCUUGGGGGUACUCGCCUUUUUUGCCCAGUGGGUUCCUACCAUCCUGGCUAUGGCUUUCUUGGCCCUCUGCUCUGGUAUUUUCCCUGGAGGAAUUUCACUCUGCACAAACAGACCUUCUGUUGGCUAUUUUGGUCAGCUCAGCUGGGCCUGAAGCCAACAAAGCAGUUUCUAAGCCCAGGCUUUCCCAGUUGCCUGGCCUGGAAGAAUUCAGAGCUGAUCAGGAAAAAGUAAGCCAUGGCUGGCUUCAGAGAACAAGUUGGACCUCAAAGGAAGCUGAUAAAUGGGCUACAAGAAUCAGCUUGGACAGAGGGAACAGCAGCCCUUGCUGUGAAAGACUACAAAUUGCGCUGAACAUUUCAAAGGGAGGCAAAUCUCCAGCAAAACAAAUUUCAUUGACUUAAACUAAAUGAAAACAACUCUGGGCAGUGGCUCCCCAAUGCCACAGGCUGAAAGAGGAAGGUGAUCUGAGGAGACUUACAAAUAGACAUCGACUGAGGGCAGAAAUAUUCCACUUCCAAUCAUAUGGCCCUGCCUCCUGUCUCUUAUUCCCUAUUCAUGCUCUCUCAGAGGCAACUCUGUGACUCCACCAAAUCUCAUUGAAGUCGCAACCCCAAAGAGGGGGCUCUAGAAAUGUGACAUUUGGAAAUGUGCAGGCCAGUAUCUGCUUGCUCCACCUGAGCCACUUUCACCCUGUGGCUGAGAUGUAAGGCCACCUAACAGCCUAAAUCACCAUGAAGGGACAAACUGGCAUCUCAGAGCUCUUAGGAUCAAAAACAGUCACCCAAGCUAAACCUUUGCAUUGCAGUGUGGUAGGGUUUCUGGCUAGGUACAGCAAGCAGUUCUGAUGUUGGAACAAAAUGCAGCUAAGGAAACAAGAUGCCCAAGUUUUUGAAGGAUUCCAAAAGUUGGGUCUGCAAGCAUGCUUGCCUGGGACACAAACAGCUUUGACAGCACUGCUCGGAGGUGCUCACUGGGGUACACUGAGAAGGCUCUCAGCCCUUUCAGACCCCCUUGCUCCUAAGGAGAGCUCAUCUGCCAAGGGCACACCAGCCUGAAGCCCAAUCUGAUGAGAAACACAAUAAUCUCCUAUGCCAGUGGCAGCGUCAGAACAUCCUGAAAGAGCACUAGCUAGACAUGUAGUGGAAGCCAGGGCUUCCCCCAAGCUGCUAGUGCUGACUUUGAGCUUGCUCCUGGGCUCUUUUCUCAGUGUUCCAUGAGGCAGUAGGAAAAUCAGCUUUCCAUUUCAAAAUCUGUAAACUAGAACAAAUCCACCAGUGCCACCUGGGAGCACCUCCUCAAGGGCGAUCUCUAAUCCCUUUCCUACUUAGCCUGACAGUGCCUUUGAGUCAGCAGUGUCCCGUGUUUUUACCCUAUUCACUCAUCUUGCCACCCUGCUCCAAUAGAUUACUGACAGAAAAGUGAGACAUCCUCCACUCUGAGGUCUCCUAAGAGAAUGCUGCUGGCCAAAAAAAGAUCUGAUAAGGAAGAGCAACUUAAGAGAGACUUUCAGCUACACUUCAGAAACAUAAAGAUCUAAGUGCUCGCUCAAUGAAGGAAGUAAUAAAGAGAAAGAGCUUUCUUUCCACCUACAACAGGGUCUAGAAGUCACACAAGGAGUUGCAUGUGUAACCAAAAAAAAAAAAAAAAAAAGCAAAGCAAAAACGAACAAGCAAAAACACCAACAAAUGUAUUCUAUAAUGAUGUCUGCUUCUCAGCCUACAAAUGUACUGGUUUGAUCCAGCCUGCAGGCAAAGUGUUCCUGGUUUAGAACAUGCUGGGAAGAAGUUCACAAAUCCAGUUAAGCUGCCCUAAGGGAGACUCCAGACAUAUCACCCAAUAAACUCAUAAACAAAGUAUAUGAGUUUCUCCAAAUAGAUUUUACUCCAAGUUUGUAGACUACAAGGUUUAAGAUUGGACCAUUCAAUCCUGCAAACUCAUAAGUGUUCACACCACUACAUCCCUAACAUUUGUAAUACUCUACAUAUGUAGUUUUUCUGCAUCUUUCUUUCUGUAGCCACUGCCUACCUGUUCCAAAGUAAGUCCUACAUUUUUCAAUAUUUUAAAGCAGCGCUUCCAGGGCCAGCCCGUGGCUCACUCGGGAGAGUGCGGUGCUGAUAACACCAAGGCCCCGGGUUCGGAUCCCAUAUACGGAUGGCCGGUUCGCUCACUGGCUGAGUGUGGUGCUGACAACACCAAGU
This is a long non-coding RNA of Cynocephalus volans (Philippine flying lemur), 4709 nucleotides long. RefSeq lists it as uncharacterized. The record is from RefSeq and is a predicted model, not a curated record. The transcript is spliced from 4 exons. NCBI's taxonomy places the organism in Eukaryota, Metazoa, Chordata, Mammalia, Dermoptera, Cynocephalidae.